GGGUACUUAGUUCAGUCUGGAAGAACAGCUGAAUUGCACUCAGCAGGCCCGAGGUUCGAAUCCUCGCGUACCCA
Molecule: transfer RNA, 74 nt
Filed under: Natronolimnobius sp. AArcel1
Lineage: Archaea; Methanobacteriati; Methanobacteriota; Halobacteria; Halobacteriales; Natrialbaceae
Description: tRNA-Ala
Rfam family: tRNA
About the family: Transfer RNA (tRNA) molecules are approximately 80 nucleotides in length. Their secondary structure includes four short double-helical elements and three loops (D, anti-codon, and T loops).
Source: RNAcentral